CUAUAUAAUGAAAAUUAUAUUAUUUAAUACUGUGAGUGUUUUGGUAAAUUGAUUCUCAUUCUUAUUUCUCGUUCUCAUUUAUUUUGUGAGGUAAACACAUCAAUGGCAUUCCAACACAUUCCCAUUCCCAUUUAUUUUUGUCAAGUAAACAUUAGAAUCUAAUUCUCAUUCCCAUUCCCAACGUAUUUCCAUCUCAGCUCAUUCCAUUCCAUCAAUGACAUCCCAACACAUUCUCAUUCUAUUAGAGGAAUGUCAAUAUUCCCACUCUUUAUAUUUUUGAGUUUUUGGAUCAGUGCAUUGAUGUCAUUUUCAAAUUUCAGACGGUUGCAAGCUUAGGAUCGGUAAUAAUUGGGAUAAAAUUGGAGAUAGAUUUAAAAAUGGAUUAUGUGGUAGAGAUUAGGUUCGUGUGUAAUGAAGUACAUGAAGUUAUGGUGCAUAACGUUGACCAUUGCUUUGACUGAAGCAAUGAUUGGUUGUAAGGGCGAGCUUAAUGUAUACGAAAACAGUAGACUAGAACCCUUACUUACGUGGGUCUGAGUGUCUGACGAACCUGUUAGUCCAUCCGUACCUUGCGCCAUGGGUCGACUCGCCCUAGUAGUGGUACCGUAACCACGCAUUUAGACCAUUAAUCAUUCUUGAUAUUAGUGUCGAGUUACUGCCACAUCAUCAAACUUUGACCAGGUUAUUGACCCAUGUUGACCAGGUUGUUGACCCGUGUUGACCAGGUCAUCGACCACAUUGACCCACUUUGACCAAACAUUUUUUAACCACUGGAUUUUUUACCGUGAUUGAAAGCUCCUGAAGCAGCGACAUUGCCUGAAUUUGAACCCUUGAUUCUGGAUAAUCUAAUGGUCAGAUUUGUUACAAAUUUAAUAUAUAAGCUAAUCACAACCAACCUUAUGAGAAGUAGGGGUGGGCAUUGAUCGGAUUGGGAUUUGAAGGCAAAUCUGAUUGGAUGAAAUUUGUGUGAUCCGAUUGGAUUUGGUUAAGAUCGAAUCGGAUUCGGAUAAAUCCGAAUCAUCCGAUCGGAUCUGCACUGUAAACAAAAAAGAAAACUGAAAAUUUUAAAAAGAAAGCUAAAUGACUAAAUGUUUUUGGAUGACAAUUUUUAUUUUGGUUUAUUUUAUUGUUGGAUAAUAUAAUGAUAAUAUUAAUUUUCGGAUUUUGUGUUGUUUAUUUAUUUGGAGACUUGGAGUAAUGUUUGAUUGUUUAUUUUGUGUUGUUUGUUUGGAGACUUGGAGUAAUGUUUAUUUUGUGUUGUUUACUUGGAGACUUGGAGUUAGAGCAAAGUUUAUUUUGUGUUAUUCAUUUGGACUUUGGAGAGUUGGAGCAAUGUUUAUUUUGUGUUGUUUAUUUAGAGACUUGGAGCAAUGUUUAUUUUGUGUUGCUUAUUUGGAGGCUUGGACUUGGAGUAAUGUUUAUGCACCUAGCUUGUAAGAGGAUUACUAAUUAAAUUAAAUGGGAGUGUUUGUACAAAAUGAAUGCAUAUGAGAAUAUACAUGGGCCGUUGAUUAUAGAUUAUUAGAUUUGAUUAUUUAAAUAUUUUCAUUUUAAUGGUUUAUAAUUUUUUUAUUUUUGUGAAUGGAAACUUUGUAUCGGCUUGUUUUCUUGGUAUAUGUCAAUGCCAUAUUGUCAAGGAAACAAUACAUUAUCAUUUGUCAACUUGUUUUUGUUUUCCUUUUUUUUAAUGGUUAGUAAGUUUUCAUUAAUUAUAUAUUUCAUGAAUUUUUUGUGAGAAUUGUUAAAAAGGUCCAAAUCUGAUUUCAAUCCGAAUUAAUCUGAAUCCAAAAUAUAAUCCAAAAUCUAAACUCAUCUGAUCCGAUCUGAUCCGAUCCGAAUCCGAGUAAUCCGAAAUUUUCAUCCGAUUCGAAUAAUUCGGAUCAGAUUUAAAGUCGGAUUGAAUUUGGAUGAAUUUUGUUUCAAUCCGAAUUAUCCGAAAUCCGAUCGGAUUCAUCCAAAUCCGAAAAUUGCCCACCCCUAAUGAGAAGAGCCACUUGCAAAUGAAGAUUUGAAAAAGGGAGUCAUACUUUCAAGUUAAAAUUAAAGACAAACACUUAGAGCAUUUCUAAAUGACUUUAUUAAUUUUACUCUUUAAAUAUUUAUUUACUUACCUAUGUGGUAAAAAAGAGAGUGAAAAAAUAUGGUUUUCUCCAAAAU
Molecule: long non-coding RNA, 2157 nt
Filed under: Citrus x clementina
Lineage: Eukaryota; Viridiplantae; Streptophyta; Magnoliopsida; Sapindales; Rutaceae
Description: Citrus clementina (C. clementina) long non-coding RNA (CCLE_LNC000976)
Source: RNAcentral